This 476-nucleotide ribosomal RNA is filed under the name uncultured bacterium. Its description in RNAcentral is "bacterial SSU rRNA". It matches the Rfam family "Bacterial small subunit ribosomal RNA", at positions 48 to 523 of the family's 1533-position model. The record is from RNAcentral.
UUAACAACAUGCAAGUCGAACGGAGGAUAGGGAAGAGCUUGCUCUUCCGAACUCUUAGUGGCGGACGGGUGAGUAACGACGUGAGCAACCUGGCCUUUCGAGAGGGGGACCAACGUUUGGAACGAACGCUAAUACCGCAUAAGAUCGUAGGGCCACAUGGUCCAGCGACCAAAGGAGCAAUCCGCUGAAAGAUGGGCUCGCGUCUGAUUAGAUAGUUGGUGGGGUAACGGCCUACCAAGUCGACGAUCAGUAGCCGGACUGAGAGGUUGAACGGCCACAUUGGGACUGAGAUACGGCCCAGACUCCUACGGGAGGCAGCAGUGGGGAAUAUUGCACAAUGGGGGAAACCCUGAUGCAGCAACGCCGCGUGAAGGAUGACGGUUUUCGGAUUGUAAACUUCUGUUCUCGUUGACGAAAGACAGUGACGGUAAACGAGGAGCAAGCCACGGCUAACUACGUGCCAGCAGCCGCGGUAA